RNAcentral lists this small RNA (100 nucleotides) under Flavobacterium aquidurense. RNAcentral describes it as "Flavo-1 RNA". It matches the Rfam family "Flavo-1 RNA". The record is from RNAcentral. Lineage: Bacteria; Pseudomonadati; Bacteroidota; Flavobacteriia; Flavobacteriales; Flavobacteriaceae.
AUCUAGCCCCGAUGGGAACGGCAUCUCCCGAUUUAGAAAAACAAGGCUUUUUAGCCGUAGUUUUUGUUAAUUGGGAAUAUAGUGGACAGCGGGACAGGUC